UUGGAGGGCAAGUCUGGUGCCAGCAGCCGCGGUAAUUCCAGCUCCAAUAGCGUAUAUUAAAGUUGUUGCAGUUAAAAAGCUCGUAGUUGAAUUUCGGGAUCAAAUUGUCGGUCGUGCCUCGGUACGCACUGGUAUUAUUGGUUCCUACCUUCUGAAGAACCGCGAUGUCAUUAAUUUGGUGUCGUGGGGAAUCAGGACUGUUACUUUGAAGAAAUUAGAGUGUUUAAAGCAGGCUUACGCUUGAAUACAUUAGCAUGGAAUAAUGAAAUAGGACGUUUGAUUCUAUUUUGUUGGUUUCUAGGAUUGACGUAAUGAUUAAUAGGGAUAGUUGGGGGCAUUAGUAUUCAAUUGUCAGAGGUGAAAUUCUUGGAUUUAUUGAAGACUAACUACUGCGAAAGCAUUUGCCAAGGAUGUUUUCAUUAAUCAAGAACGAAAGUUAGGGGAUCGAAGACGAUCAGAUACCGUCGUAGUCUUAACCAUAGACUAUGCCGACUAGGGAUCGGAUGAUGUUAAUUUUUUAGUGACUCAUUCGGCGCCUUACGGGAAAC
RNAcentral lists this ribosomal RNA (548 nucleotides) under uncultured Glomeromycotina. RNAcentral describes it as "SSU rRNA". It matches the Rfam family "Eukaryotic small subunit ribosomal RNA", at positions 548 to 1098 of the family's 1831-position model. The record is from RNAcentral. Lineage: Eukaryota; Fungi; Glomeromycota.